Molecule: non-coding RNA, 78 nt
Organism: Schistosoma haematobium
Lineage: Eukaryota; Metazoa; Platyhelminthes; Trematoda; Strigeidida; Schistosomatidae
Source: Rfam
AGCUUUCUGAAUUCCCGAAGAGAUUUUGUCAGACACCAACCCAUUAGGGCUGAUCAGACUUCCAAGAUAAGUGAAGCU